This 460-nucleotide ribosomal RNA is filed under the name uncultured Streptococcus sp. RNAcentral describes it as "bacterial SSU rRNA". It matches the Rfam family "Bacterial small subunit ribosomal RNA", at positions 920 to 1382 of the family's 1533-position model. The record is from RNAcentral. Lineage: Bacteria; Bacillati; Bacillota; Bacilli; Lactobacillales; Streptococcaceae.
CCCGCACAAGCGGUGGAGCAUGUGGUUAAUUCGAAGCAACGCGAAGAACCUUACCAGGUCUUGACAUCCCGAUGCUAUUUCUAGAGAUAGAAAGUUACUUCGGUACAUCGGUGACAGGUGGUGCAUGGUUGCCGUCAGCUCGUGUCGUGAGAUGUUGGGUUAAGUCCCGCAACGAGCGCAACCCCUAUUGUUAGUUGCCAUCAUUCAGUUGGGCACUCUAGCGAGACUGCCGGUAAUAAACCGGAGGAAGGUGGGGAUGACGUCAAAUCAUCAUGCCCCUUAUGACCUGGGCUACACACGUGCUACAAUGGUUGGUACAACGAGUUGCGAGUCGGUGACGGCGAGCUAAUCUCUUAAAGCCAAUCUCAGUUCGGAUUGUAGGCUGCAACUCGCCUACAUGAAGUCGGAAUCGCUAGUAAUCGCGGAUCAGCACGCCGCGGUGAAUACGUUCCCGGGCCUU